Mastomys coucha (southern multimammate mouse) is the source of this 133-nucleotide small nucleolar RNA. RefSeq annotates it as small nucleolar RNA SNORA17. NCBI's taxonomy places the organism in Eukaryota, Metazoa, Chordata, Mammalia, Rodentia, Muridae. The record is from RefSeq and is a predicted model, not a curated record. The transcript has a single exon.
CCUACCCCUAGAGGCACUGCGGGUGUAGCUGCUCUGUCACGUGUGCUUUAGGUGGCAGAGAGAAGAGAAGCUAUGUCUAGCCUCAGGCUUCUGACCUAUGAACAUCUGAAUGAAUGAUUAGUAGCCUAAUAAU